UCGAGGAGAGGAUAUACUAUGGCUGUAUUUUAAUACAUAUCUUGAAAUUUAGAAGUUGCUUUCUGUGAAGUUUAGUUAGCCAAGGAUGUCGUAUAUGUGGAAUCACGAGUUUACGUCAUUGCAAGUAAUAUUAGACAAGAUUGGAUGAUGUUCAAGCAUUUUAUUUCCACAAAGAAAAUAUAUUACACCGAAAACUUGAUAAGAAUAUACAAAUAGAGUACAGUUUCAAAAGAAACUGGUUUAACCAAAAUCAAAUAGUUACCAUGCAUAUAUAUUCUGAGCUAUCUUAUUUUUUUAGUAUGCUGCAGGGUGAAUUCUAUAGAAACCCCCGAGGAAGCUGCAGCCACCGGAACAUGAACCCAAGCCAGAACCGAAAGAGGGUGAAGUAGUCCCAUAAACUUCCUUCUUAGCCUCUUUAAUUCCCAGGCUUUUCAGCAUUUCUGUCUCCUUGUUCAACUUUUUCCACACAUACACUUCAGCAAUGCCAAUAUUGGCUGUUGACAUUAUUGGAAAAUGGAACUGACGAGUAUAAAAUGAUGAAAUUCAGAUGAAUAAUGAAGUAGGAUUUAUUUCAUGUAUAAAUAGAUACAAGAACAGGCAGUGAGCGGCCAGGGGCCAGGUUUUUAACAGUGAUUUGAAGGAAGUCAGAAGUGGAAUGUGCUAUUUGGGAGACUAAGUUAUUUUCAGUUUUUCAUGGAAUUCCUUGUCAUUUACCACUUACAAGUUACGAAGUACAUGUAUUUUCAUGUAUUCGUUUGGUUAUUUGAGGUCAUUGUCCACGUCAUCAUGAAUUUAAUGGAAGACGGUAAUCAUUUUUCGUUUGUCCCGAUAUUGUCCGUUGUUAAGAUAGAUAAACUCUGUCGUACCAUAAAACAUUUAGAGAAAGUUCAAAAUAUUAUCUUUGAGUCCUCUGUGAACUAUACAAGCUCUAACAUGUUAACUUGAAGUCGCUCGCAAACCUUUCCAGCAUGACAAACGAAGAGUCAAAUAGUUGCUCUGGUUAACAAGAACUAAUACUAAGAGAAAAUACAUAGCAAAUAUAGCCUAUGUACUCCUAAUGUGACACAACAUUUUAGAUUAAUCAAUAUAUGACAUUGUCCUUUCGUUAAUCUAUAACCAAAGACAUUGGCCCUUUAAUUGCUUCACUUCAAUAAUUGAACCAAGUUUAUGAAUUGGUUAUAAGUUUGAUUUAAAGAAUUGUAAUUUGUGAAAUAAUAAGUCGAUUCUACUUUUAAAUUAGAUCGAGAGAUAAGAGUCAAUGAGAUAGGGAUGGCGUGGUGGGUGACCGCCCCCACAACAUUUUAAAAUAUUUUUAAAAUUAUAUAAAAAAAAUCGAUUUUUUAAUAUGUAUUUUGCCUCAACAUUUUUCAUGCACCCCAACAUUAAAAAUCCUAACUUCGUCACUAAUGGAGCCAACUGUGAAUUUCCACCUACCCAGUGCUUUUGACUUCAAUGAAUGUCCUUUUAGAAAACAAGAGCAACUUUGAGAUGAAGGCAUUGGACUUUAUCCCAAGCCUCUUCAAUGACUGGAGGAGUAAAAGGUAUACCACAUAUUAUUUUAGAGGAGAUAGUGAGUGCUUCCUAUAGGUCAAGGGGAAUUAUUUAUUUGUAUUUGUUGGUUCAAAUCCCAUUUAAAGAUAGAAUAUAAUUGAUUCAUUCCCAUUAGAUUAAAAUUUAUUUAGAUGAGAUACAGUUAUCCCAUUAUAUUUGAUCUUUAAUUGAUUUGAGCAUAAUUCAAUUAGAAACUGUCGUGGAUUUUUCUUGUAAUGCGGUCUUGAUUGGUUUUAAUUAAAUUGAAUUGAAUGUCCACAGUCAUGAUGAGAUUUGAAGGAAAUAUUGAACACCCCUCGGAAUUAUUUAAAAUUACAUUAGAAUAGUGUAUUUUUUGUGUUUUGAGAAAUCAAAUACAAGAAAUCUUUGUUGAGGAAUUAUCUAAAUCUACCAAGACCUGAAUAAGAUGCAAUUGAUACCAAAAUUCAUCCAAAGAGCCUAUAAAAAAAGGAUUUUCUGAUAUUAGCAUGUAUGAUGAGGCAAAUUCAUAGGUGAAGAUUGGAGUUGUAGCAACUUAGUCCGUGUUUGGUUCCUAUUUUCUAAAAUUCAUUUUUCCUUCAACUUAUUUCCAAUCACACAUUUCAUAGGACCUACAACUUGUAAGGUGGAUCACUUCAUCCAUAUGUCACAAGUUAAUAAGUCUAGAGAGAUUGAAGGAGAUUGUGCUAGUUUAAGAGCAUUUUGAACCGUAGAUUAAAUCCAACCAUCAAUUUAGUCUUAUGGUCAAUUCUCCUUUUCUAAUCAUGUUACAUUCACUCUUAAUUAUAUUACAAUAUUUGAAUUUGAAUUCAAAUGGUUUUUGCUCUAUAAUUACAAGACUUCUUCACUUAAUUUCAUUAGGACUUGGCAUAACAAGAGAGAGAAAGUAUAGAAAGGUAACCAAGUGAGAGAAAUUCAUAUAUCCGGCAAAAUUCUUGGUGACUUCCGACAUACCCUUUUUCUCUUUAUAUCUAUUGUCAUUCCUGUGGACAACGGUGUAUGAUCUAGUAUGACUUAAAUCUGAGCUCAACAUUGUAGAACACUCCAUUGGUGAUGUUGAAGAAGCUUUGGAUCGAUUAGUUCGAUUUUUUUACACUUCAAGAGUUUAUGUUUCCUCAUUGUAAUUGUAAUAAUCAUUUGUACACUACAUUUAAACUCUACACAACUUUUAUUAACUUUUCUACCACAUCACGUAUUUUAUCAACUUUUAUCAUAAUCUACUGAAAAUCUGAUUUUUAGCUAAUCCAAACAGGGGCUUAAUGCAUAGUGACAUUGGUAUAUAGAUCGUCCAAACAUGGAAAAAUUAUGUGUAUAAUUAACUCGGAAGCUCAAACGUACAGUUAGUGGUUCAAUCCCCAAUCAUAGGGCUGGUAUAUCACUUUCAGAUGAGUAUUUGGAAGCAAAUCAAGCAAAGGUUGAGACUAUACCGGCUCCAGGUAGUUUGCACCAUGCCUUGUACC
This 2990-nucleotide long non-coding RNA is filed under the name Olea europaea (common olive). Its description in RNAcentral is "long non-coding RNA (OEUR_LNC005539)". The record is from RNAcentral. Lineage: Eukaryota; Viridiplantae; Streptophyta; Magnoliopsida; Lamiales; Oleaceae.